This 1002-nucleotide long non-coding RNA is filed under the name Anser brachyrhynchus (Pink-footed goose). Its description in RNAcentral is "lncRNA (ENSABRG00000007434.1)". The record is from RNAcentral. Lineage: Eukaryota; Metazoa; Chordata; Aves; Anseriformes; Anatidae.
GCUGGAGAGCUGCCAAGGGCAUUGGGGGCUGUAACGUUUGCAGUGCAGUCCUGAGAGGCGAUGAGCAAAAGUGCAAAAACUUCCCCGUGUCUAUUUUGAUGUCUUUCUUUGGGGAUAUAGUAAACAUAAACCCAACUGAUCUAACGUUACGCUUCUGUCUAGGGGCAAAUUUUCCUCUAGAUUCUUUAUAUUCCCUGUGAAAGUUGGAGAGGAAAAAGUGAAGAUUAACUGCACAGGGUGCGAGACAGUUGAUUUCAGAUCCCUUUGAAGACCUUCCAGGGCGUAAUUAUGCUUUGUUCUCUUGUGCUACUGUAUGGAGGCAGAACUCACAGAAGUCCUUAAUAUCUGUGCAUGCAGUUCUACCAAUGACCUCUGAAGGAGGAGGAAAGGAAUCAAAGAAGAGGCAAAGGAAUCAGAGAGGAGUCAGAGCAAAGAUAGUGUAAGCACUGUGACAGAGCUCACUUCCAAAAGAGACUUUUCUGCCUUCCUUCUGCACUGGAAAGAUGUUUCCCAAAUUACUUUCUUCAGCAUUGCUACCCUGUAACAAAGGCAGAUCCAUUUUGCUCCAGUAUCAUGAAGUAGCAGUGGAGUAUAUUCCUUCUGGUCAAAGGAAGAAUACUUCUGGAGAUACUUUUUGCCUUUUCCAGCCUAUCACAAUGCCAUAUAGCGUAUCGACUGGUGAGAGGAUAUUCCUGGAAAUAGCAUCAUGGUCUAGCACCACCACGUUUUACUGAUUCAGGUUAUUGUGUUUUCACCUUCAGUAUCCCUUAACUGAAGAUCUCAUGAAGCUGCUGUAUAGUGCCAGUUUGCCUCAUCAAUACUUUGUUGUUGAUCAUGGGAUCAUUCUACAUUAUACAACCUGGAUCAGCAUCAAUACUGAAAUGAAUUUGUAACUUUUGCUAUAGUUUAUAAUGGACGUUAUGUAUUCUGAAAUUCAGGGAUUUACCUGGAAUCGGAUUAUUCACAAAUAAAAUAGUACUCACUUGUUAGAGUAGUACUGUG